UUGGAGGGCAAGUCUGGUGCCAGCAGCCGCGGUAAUUCCAGCUCCAAUAGCGUAUAUUAAAGUUGUUGCAGUUAAAAAGCUCGUAGUUGAAUUUCGGGAUCAAUUUAUUGGUCGUGCCAACGGUACGCACUGGUACAAUUGGUUUCUCCCUUCUGACGAAGCAUGAUGUCAUUAAUUUGAUGUCGUGGGGAAUCAGGACUGUUACUUUGAAAAAAUUAGAGUGUUUAAAGCAGGCUUUGGCUUGAAUACAUUAGCAUGGAAUAAUGAAAUAGGACGUUUGAUCUUAUUUCGUUGGUUUCUAAGAUCGACGUAAUGAUUAAUAGGGAUAGUUGGGGGCAUUAGUAUUCAAUUGUCAGAGGUGAAGUUCUUGGAUUUAUUGAAGACUAACCACUGCGAAAGCAUUUGCCAAGGAUGUUUUCAUUAAUCAAGAACGAAAGUUAGGGGAUCGAAGACGAUCAGAUACCGUCGUAGUCUUAACCAUAAACUAUGCCGACUAGGGAUCGGAUGAUGUUAAUUUUUCUUGACUCGUUCGGCGCCUUACGGGAAAC
Molecule: ribosomal RNA, 548 nt
Filed under: uncultured Glomeromycotina
Lineage: Eukaryota; Fungi; Glomeromycota
Description: SSU rRNA
Rfam family: Eukaryotic small subunit ribosomal RNA
Source: RNAcentral